GGAGGUUCUCAGGUGAUGCACCCCAGAAUCGGGCUCCCUCCUCUCUGGUUCUGGGUGCGUCACGGGAGAACUGCA
Molecule: non-coding RNA, 75 nt
Organism: Myotis lucifugus (little brown bat)
Lineage: Eukaryota; Metazoa; Chordata; Mammalia; Chiroptera; Vespertilionidae
Source: Rfam